This is a long non-coding RNA of Amphiprion ocellaris (clown anemonefish), 6460 nucleotides long. The record is from Ensembl. NCBI's taxonomy places the organism in Eukaryota, Metazoa, Chordata, Actinopteri, Pomacentridae.
CUUUUUUUCAUCAAAUUCCAAACAGACACGUGUCCUGUGUACAUAUGUAGGAAUCUGGAGAACAGAUUUCAACUGCAACAAAAUGUAAAGCAAUGAAAACCAGAACGUCAUGCAUUCAGUCUGAUUGGGAUGUAUUUGUCCUGAAUUUAGCUGCAGGUUUUUCUGCUCCAUGUCUGGAUUCUUUGGGUUACAGUGAGAAGAAGUUUCCUUGUUGCUGCUGUUGGGAUGGUGACCCUGUUUCACCGCCAGGACUUCAAUAAAGUGGACAGUUAGAAGUGAAAGAGCUUCAGCUGCUCAGAGCAGCGGCUCAGGUUCCUCCUCUAAUUAUCCAAUCAGCAGGCGGCUCCAGGUGUUCAGCAGCUUUAUCAUCCUCAGGUGAGGCGGCAGUCUGCAGCAGCUUCCAGCCGCUCUUCGGUGCUUCCCGGCGGGCAGAGAGCAGCGCAGUGGACCGGAGCAUGUCGGCGGUUAACAGACGGAUGACGAUGGCCUGGGUUUGGCCCGCUUUGGUGCUUCUAGCCCGGCUCACCACGGCAGAGGAACCGCGUCGGGACGCACACGGGGCUUUGGCCGGCUCCAAGGCGCUGAUCUCGGACUCCGAGCCGCCGAUGGAGACCCGCAGCGGGGGAGGCCUCCUGCCGGUGCUGGUGUGGAAGUUUGUGAAAGAUGCUGCAGAUGCAUCAGAUUUGGGCCGACCGCAGUUUCUCUGCAGCGACACGUCACUCUCUGUUCGCUUGUCGCUCAUCCGAUACUCUGACCUGCAUCUGCAAGAUGGGAGGAGGUUGGCGUGGCUGCAGCAGGGAUGUGAUGGUUCUGUUGGGACCGUGGGGCCGUGGCUGCUGCUGAAGCUGCCUUACACCAGCUGCCAUGUGACGUCACAGGUUUCAAAUGGAACGUGGUUCCACCAGUUGAAGCUGCGUUACUUCGACCACCUGCUGCGGGAGAACAUGACGGCUGUGGUCGCCUGUGAGGAUCCUGCAACGUGGACCCUGCCGGCGGUGAGCUGCAGGAGCACAGAAGUGGCUGUGAAACUGCCUCAGGGAAGCAGACUGCAGAAGGUGAAGGCUCUGGGGAAAGAUGUGGUGGUUGGGAGGGUGCAGACCACCACUACUCCAGGGCCAGUGUUGGUGCAGAUCUCCACACCGGCAGACAAGGACUCCAUGUUUGAAGUGAACUAUUUGGACUCGGCUGGGGAGAUGUCCAUGAUGCUGGCGGCUUGUUUCAGUGCAGCCAGAGGAGAUGGGCGGGAUCGUCAGCGCAGAGCUCUGCAACACCAGGACCAGAGGGACUGGGUGGUGAAUCCUCGUCAUUGGCACAAUGUGGAACCCCGACAGACGGGCCAUAUUCAGAAGACGAAAUCGCAAAUUCUCCUUCAUCAACCACGUCUGAGGAUCCAAAUACCACACACAGAGUUUCCACAGCCCCACAGCCAAUGACCACAUCCAGUGCCUUCACCACUACUCAGCCGAUGACGACAUCCACAGCCUCAUCGACCAGGCAACCAGCAACCACAGCCAGAGCGUCAUCGUCCACUCAGCAGAAAACCACGUCCAGUGCAUCAUCAACAACAACCUCCAGUACCUCCACAAUGCAGCCAAGGACCACAUCCAAACCCUCCAUGAGCACUCAGCAGACCACUGCAUCUACAACUAUUGAGACAACAACCACAUACAGGGCCUCUACAGCUAUGCAGCCAAUGAUCAGAACCAGUGACUUCACCACUAUGCAGCUGGCACCCACAUCCAGAGACUCCACGACCAGUCAUCAGGCAUCCACCAUAUCUACAACCACCCAAGCAAAAACCACAUCUGCAUCUACACAGCCAACAACCACAUCCAGAGCGUCAUUGCCAAUACUCAGCACCUCCACAACCAUGCACGCAAUGGCCACAUCUACAACACCUGUGACCACAAUCACAUCCAGACCCUCUAGGCCUCAAGUCUCAUCAAACACGCAGUCAACAAUCACAGCCAGAUUGUCACUGAUGACUCAGCAGAAAACCAUGUCUACUGGAUCUACGAUGACUCAGACAACAACCACAUCGGCUUCUACACAGACAACAACAUCCAGCACCUCUACAACCAUUCAAUCAAUGACCAAACAUAGCACAUCUACAACUGGGCAGCCAACAACAACAUACAGAGACUCAUCAACCACUCGGCAGAAAACCACAUGCAGCAGAUCUACAACCACUCAGUCAAAAAACACAUUCAUAUUAACACAGCCAACUGCAACAUCCAGGGCCUCAAUGGCCACUCAACCAAGGACCACAUCUGGGUCUUCCAUGACCACUCAAAGGACAACCAUAUCCAGUGCAUCUACGACUAAGCAGCUGAGGUCAACAUCAAGAGCCUCCACAACAGCUCAGCAGGAAACAGCAUCCAGUACACCUACAACCACUCAAGCAAGGACCACGUCCACUCAUAAGACAGCCACAUCCAGUGCAUCUACGACUAUGCAACAGAGAUCAACAUCUAGCACCUUCACAACAGCUCAGCAGGGAACAACUUCCAGCUCAUCCACUGAGCAGACAACCACAUCCACCAGAACUCAGAUUACUCAAGAGACAACUACAUCUACACAUCCACCAAGCACAUUCGACAAGUCAUUGGCCACUCAGCCAAAGGAUACAUCCAAAUUCUCAAAUUCCACUCAGACCACCAGAUCCAAUGCAACUACAAUGACACAGCUGAGGUCAACCUUCUGUGUCUCCACAACAGGUCAGCAAGCAACAAUGUCCAGUUCAUCUAUGACCACACAGCCAAAUACCACAUCUGGAUUCUCCACAACCACUGAGCAGACAACCACAUCCACCAGAAGUCUGAUGAUUCAGGAGACAACCACACCGACAUCUGCAAAGCCACGAAGCACAUCCAGUGUGUCUUGGACCACUCAGGAGACAAACGCAUUCACCGGACCUAUGAACACUCAGCCAAGGACCACAUCUGGAUCCUCCAUAUCCACUCAAAAGACAACCAUAUCCAGUGCACCUACAUCUAUGCAGCUGAGGUCAACAUCCAGCAUCUCCAUAACAGCUCAGGAGGCAACAGCUUCCAGCGUAUCCAUGAACACAAAGCAGACAACCACACAUGCAUCUACACAGCCACCAAGCACAUCCAGUGUGUCACUGACCACUCAGCAGAGAACCACAUUCACUGGAUCGAUGAUUGCUCAGCCAAGGUCCACAUCUGGAUCUUGCACAGCCACUCAGCCAACAACCACUUCCAGGUCAUCAAUGGCCAUCUGGCCAAUGAUCACAUCCAGAUCCUCCACGUCCAGUCAACCAUCAACCACAUCUAGUGCCACCAAGUCCCCUCAGCAGGAAACCACCUCCAUCAUGUCUACAAUUACUCAAGCAACAACUACAUCUUCAUCUGCACAGUCAACAACCACAUCCAACACACCAGUGAUCACUCAGCAGAGAACCACAUUCACCGGAUCUAAGACCACCCAGCCAAGGACCACAUCUGGAUCCUCCACAUCCACUCAACAGACAACCAUAUCCAGAGCAUCUAUGAUCAUUCAGCCAAGGACCACAUUUGGAUUCUCAACAGCCACUCAAGCGAUAGCCACAUCCAGUGCACCUACAACUACACAAAUGAGAUCAACAUCCAGCGCCUCCACAUCAGCUCAGGAGGCAACAACUUCCAGCACCUCCACAACAGUUCAGCAGGCAACUACGUCCAGUACAUCCACAAUCACUGAACAGACAACCACAUCCAACAGAUCUCUAAUCACUCAGGAGAUGACUACAUCUGCAUCCACACAGCCACCAAGUACAUCCAGUGGGUCAUUGAUCACUCAGCAGAGAACCACAUUCACCAGAUCUGAGAGAACUCAGCCAAGGACCACAUCUGGAUCCUCCACAUCCACUCCAAAGACAACCAUAUUCAGUCCACCUACAACUACACAGGUGAGAUCAACAUCCAGCGUCUCCACAACAGCUCAGCAGGCAACAACUUCCAGCGGAUCCAUGACCACAAAGCAGACAACCACACAUGCAUCUACACAGCCACCAAGCACAUUCAGUGUGUCAUUGACCACUCAGGAGAGAGCCAGAUUCACUGGAUCAACGGUUGCUCAGCCAAGGUCCACAUCUGGAUCUUGCACAUCCACUCAGCCAACAACCACUUCCAGGGCAUCAACAACCACUUGGCCAAUGAUCACAUCCGGAUCCUCCACGUCUACUCAACCAUCAACCACAUCUAGUGCCUCCAAAAACUUUCAGCAGGCAACCACCUCCACCAUGUCUACAAUUACUCAAGCAAUAACUACAUCUUCAUCUGCACAGUCAGCAACCACAUCCAGUGCAUCAAUGUGCACUCAGCAGAGAACCAUAUUCACUGAAUCUAAGGCAACCCAGUCAAAGAGAAUAUCUGGAUACUCCACAUCCACUCAACAGACAACCACACCCAGAGCAUCGAUAAACAUUCAGCCAAGUACCACAUCUGGAUUCUCAACAUCCACUCAAAAGACAGCCAUAUCCAGGGCACCUAUGACUACGCAGCUGAGGUCAACAUCCAGCGCCGAGCAGGCAACAACGUCCAGUGCAUCUACAACCUCUCGGCCAAGGACCACAUCAACUAAAGAGACAAUCGCAUCCAGUGCAUCUACAACUAUGCAGCUGAGUUCAACAUCUAGUGCCUCUUCAACAGCUCAGCAGGUAACAACUUCUAGCGCAUCCACAACCACAGAUCAGUCAACCACAUCCACCAGAACUCAGGUUACUCAAGAUACAACCAAACCUACAUCUGCACAGCCAUCAAGCCCAUACAGCAUGUCACUGACUACUCAGCAGAGGACCACAUUCACUGGAUCUAAGACCACUCAGCCAAGGUUCACAUCUGGAUUCUUGACAUCCACUCAAAAGACAACCACAUCUAGUGUAUCUUCGACUACGCAGCUGAAGUCAACAUCCAGCACCUCAACAACAACUCAGCACUCAACCACCUCCAGUGCCUACAUGACCACUGAGCAGACAGCCACAUCCACCAGAUCUCCCACCACUCGGGAGACAACUGCAUCUGUAUCUGUAUCCACAUUGACAAUGCAACAGAAGACCACAUUCAUGGGAUCUAUGACCACUCAGCCAAAGGACACAUACGAAAUCUCCACUUCCACUCAGACGACGACUACAUCCAGAUCCUCCACGUUGACUCAACUGGCAACCUUAGCCAGUGCAUCUCGGAUGACUCAGCCAAGGACCACAUCCUUAUCCUCAACAUCCCCUCGACAGACAACCACAUCCAGUGAAUCUAGAACAACUAAAUCAAUUACCAUGUCCACUCAAAAGACCACUACAUCCAAUGCAUGUCAAACCACUGAGCCAAGGACCACAUCUGGAUCAUCGAUAUCCACUCAAAAGACAAUCAUAUCCAGUGCACCUACAUCGACACAGCUAAAGUCAACAUCCAGUGCCUCCUCAACAGCUCAGCACGCCACCAUGUCCAGUGCAUCUACAACCAUUCAGCCAAGGACCACAUCUGGGUUUUCCACGACCACUCAAAUGACAACGAUAUCCAGUGCAUCUACAACUAUACAGCUUAGGUUAACAUCGAGGGCCUUCACAACAGCUCAUCAGGCAACAACUACCAGUGACUGUACGACCACUCAGUCAAAAACCACAGUCGGAUUCUUUACAACAGCUCAUAAGGCAACCAUAUCCAGUGCACCAACGACUACACAGCUGAGAUCAACCUCCAUUGUCUCCACAAAUGUUUGGCAGGCAACAACAUCCAGUGCAUCUACAACCCCUGAGCCAAGGACCACAUCCACUCAAAACACAACCCCAUCCAGUGGAUCUAUGAUCACUCAACCAAGGAGCAUGUCCACUCAAAAGACAACCAUAUUCAAUAUGCCUACAAUGACUCUGCUGAUGUUAACAUCCAGCUCCACCACAACAACUCAGCAGGCCCCAAAGUCCAAUGCAUCUAUAACCACUCAGCCAAAGACCACAUCCAGAUUCCCGACAACAGCUCAGCAGGCAACCACAUCCAGCACAUCCACGACCACUGAGCAGACAACCACAUCUACCAGAACUUGGGAGACCCAGGAGACAAUCGCAUCAGCAUCUACACAGCCACCAAGCACAUUCAACACAUCAUUGACCACUCAGCAGAGAACCAUCUUCACUGGUUCUAAGACCACCCAGCCAAGGACCACAUCCGGAUCCUCCACGUCCACUCAACAGACAACCACAUCCAGUGCAUCUGAGAUGACGCAGCUGAAGUCAGCAUCUAGCGUCUCCGCAACAGCUCAGCAGGCAACAACGUUGAGUGACUCUAUGACCACUCAGCCAACAAUCACAUCUAGAUUCCACCCAACAGCUCAGCAGGCAACCACAUCCACCAGAACUCCAAUGACUCAGGAGACAAUGACAUCAGCAUCUGCACCUGCACAGCGACCAAGCACAUCCAGCGAUUCCAAGGAUGACGACGAUGAUUCCAAGGAGGAAGGCGACGAC